This 492-nucleotide ribosomal RNA is filed under the name uncultured bacterium. RNAcentral's name for it is "partial 16S ribosomal RNA". It matches the Rfam family "Bacterial small subunit ribosomal RNA", at positions 29 to 507 of the family's 1533-position model. The record is from RNAcentral.
AGUGAACGCUGGCGGUAGGCCUAACACAUGCAAGUCGAACGGCAGCACAGUAAGAGCUUGCUCUUACGGGUGGCGAGUGGCGGACGGGUGAGGAAUACAUCGGAAUCUACUUUUUCGUGGGGGAUAACGUAGGGAAACUUACGCUAAUACCGCAUACGACCUACGGGUGAAAGCAGGGGAUCUUCGGACCUUGCGCGAUUGAAUGAGCCGAUGUCGGAUUAGCUAGUUGGCGGGGUAAAGGCCCGCCAAGGCGACGAUCCGUAGCUGGUCUGAGAGGAUGAUCAGCCACACUGGAACUGAGACACGGUCCAGACUCCUACGGGAGGCAGCAGUGGGGAAUAUUGGACAAUGGGCGCAAGCCUGGUCCAGCCAUACCGCGUGGGUGAAGAAGGCCUUCGGGUUGUAAAGCCCUUUUGUUGGGAAAGAAAAGCAGCAGGUUAAUACCCCGCUGUUCUGACGGUACCCAAAGAAUAAGCACCGGCUAACUUCGUG